This 614-nucleotide ribosomal RNA is filed under the name Amanita sp. RNAcentral's name for it is "LSU rRNA". It matches the Rfam family "Eukaryotic large subunit ribosomal RNA", at positions 76 to 665 of the family's 3401-position model. The record is from RNAcentral. Lineage: Eukaryota; Fungi; Basidiomycota; Agaricomycetes; Agaricales; Amanitaceae.
UCCCCUAGUAACUGCGAGUGAAGCGGGAAAAGCUCAAAUUUAAAAUCUGGCAGUGUUUAGCUGUCCGAAUUGUAGCCUAGAGAAGUGUUGCCNGUGCUGGACCAUGUACAAGUCUCCUGGGAUGGAGCGUCAGAGAGGGUGAGAAUCCCGUAUUUGACAUGGACUACCAGUGCAUUGUGGUAUGCUCUCAAAGAGUUGAGUUGUUUGGGAAUGCAGCUCUAAAUGGGUGGUAAAUUCCAUCUAAAGCUAAAUAUUGGCGAGAGACCGAUAGCGAACAAGUACCGUGAGGGAAAGAUGAAAAGAACUUUGGAAAGAGAGUUAAACAGUAUGUGAAAUUGUUGAAAGGGAAACGUUUGAAGUCAGUGACAUUGGCUGGGGAUCAGUGCAGCUCUUUUGCUGGAUGGAGUUCCUGGUUGAUGGGCCAANAUGAGUUUUGACUGCUGGAGAAAGGCCAGGGGAAUGUGGCACCUUUGGGUGUGUUUAUAGCGCCUGGUUGUAUGCAGCGGUUGGGACUGAGGAANUAAAAGCAGCGCGCCGCAAGGCAGGGUUUCGACCACGUUCGCGCUUANGAUGUUGGCAAUAAUGGCUUUAAGCGACCCGUCUUGAAACACGGA